CAGCACUGAAGGAAUGUAUAGCACAGCUACUUGUAUCAUUAUGAUGCAGCUCGACUAUGUUGAAUAAAAUUCUAGGUAGAAUUAUGAUAAUGACAUCGUCUGCCUAUGUGUCUUGACCAAAUUACGUGCCAGCAGUCGCGGUAAUACGUAGAAGACUAGUGUUAUUCAUGUUUAAUCGGUUUAAAGGGUACCUAGACGGUGAAUCAAGCUUUAGAAUAAAGAAGAAAAGGAACUAAUUCGCUAGAGUUACUUACGAGGGGGUAGUAAAGUACUGCUGGUGUAGAGAUGAAAUUCUGUCAUACCUCUUUUCGAAAGAAAAAUUAUGGCACAGGUAUAGGCGAAGGCAUCCCCUUAUGUGAUAACUGACGUUGAGGGACGAAGGCUUCGUGGAACAAACAGGAUUAGAUACCCUAGUAGUUGAAGCAGAAAAUGAUGAAUGUCAUAGAUUAGACGUCUAAGUUUAUUCUAUAAAUGAAAGUGUAAGCAUUCCACCUCCUGAGUAAUUUGGCAACAUUGGAAUUGAAAUCAUUAGACCGUUUCUGAAACCAGUAGUGAAGUAUGUUGUUUAAUUUGAUAAUACGCAAAAAACCUUACCACAAUUUGAAUAUUUAUAUUGUUUAUUGUUAUCUUAUUAAUUUUCUUAAAAAAACUAAUUAUAGCAAAAGCAUUUUAAAACAGGAAAAGAAAAUUAAUCAAGAGGCAAUAACAUAUAUCUACCAGCGUUGCACGGCUGUCUUCAGUUA
This 743-nucleotide ribosomal RNA is filed under the name Parmotrema pseudotinctorum. RNAcentral describes it as "SSU rRNA". It matches the Rfam family "Bacterial small subunit ribosomal RNA", at positions 349 to 1061 of the family's 1533-position model. The record is from RNAcentral. Lineage: Eukaryota; Fungi; Ascomycota; Lecanoromycetes; Lecanorales; Parmeliaceae.